This 253-nucleotide ribosomal RNA is filed under the name uncultured bacterium. RNAcentral describes it as "partial 16S ribosomal RNA". It matches the Rfam family "Bacterial small subunit ribosomal RNA", at positions 524 to 776 of the family's 1533-position model. The record is from RNAcentral.
UACGAACUGUGCGAACGUUAUUCGGAUUCACUGGGCUUAAAGGGUGCGUAGGCGGCCAUGUAAGUAGGGUGUGAAAUCCCCCGGCUUAACCGGGGAACUGCGCCCUAAACUGUGUGGCUUGAGUGAGAUAGGGGUGUGUGGAACUUCCGGUGGAGCGGUGAAAUGUGUUGAUAUCGGAAGGAACGCCGGUGGCGAAAGCGACACACUGGGUCUCAACUGACGCUGAGGCACGAAAGCCAGGGGAGCGAACGGG